AAUAACCAAAUAUAACGGGCUAAGGGUCAAAUUGGUAAUUUUUCUUACAUCUCCCCCCCAGGGGCCCAGGUAUCAUAUACACCGCCAAAAUAAAGAGCCUUGAGUACUAGAAGAAAAGCACCUAGACCUAACAAAAUUAAGUGAAUACCCAAAAUUGUAGUCAUUUUAUUUCUAUCUUUCCA
This 182-nucleotide antisense RNA is filed under the name Triticum aestivum (bread wheat). Its description in RNAcentral is "lncRNA IsrR". It matches the Rfam family "Antisense RNA which regulates isiA expression". Lineage: Eukaryota; Viridiplantae; Streptophyta; Magnoliopsida; Poales; Poaceae. The record is from Rfam by way of RNAcentral.